AGGCUUAAUUAAAUCAGGCUGCUCAGGGAUUCAUCUAGUUGAUUCUCAACACUUCUGCACAAACUUAGCAGCUCUGCUAAGAGGCAGAAUUUUGAGAUUCAGAUUUAACACAGCUGCGGAGAAACCCGACUGAUUUGUGAUCUAAGCUGGCAUCUCUAGAUGUGGUUUGACCUCCGUGGUUGUCCCACUGAAAGCUUCUGUGUUUUGUGUAGCAUGAGCAUGUUAAUUGAGCCUGCUGAAGAUGAGCAGCCAGUUUAACACCAGAGCAGGCACUGCCUGUGCCUGCUGCAUUCACACUCAGGCUGUGGUACCUAUGUGGCCCAGAGAACUCUGCUGACACAAUGGACCUGGAAAAGAUGCAUCAGUAAAGCCUGCUGAUUGGAACUGAACCCUACUUACAUGUCAGGUCUUUGCCUAUCCCUUCAUAUGCAUUUCCUGAGUUCACAAAGAAGAUUUUGGUGUGACUGGACACCUCACAAAGAUGGGGUCUGUGUGCACAGGCAUGAAUCAGGCUUGUACAAUGUGAUGCCUUCUACAGUGAUCUUCUACUAAUUACCAGAACACUGUAAAACUGCUGCUAGAUUUAUUUUCUCCUUUUAGUAGUAAUGUGUAAUCUAUCCCAAUCUAAGGCUGUUUCUUUAAGUCUUGAAAAAACCAUAGACAUCUGAGAUAAGUUUCAAAGUCUUUCAGAUACAUUUCUAAAUUUUCCUCAUUUAAUGAGGGAUAGGACUGAUUCCAUCCUGUGCUCUGGAUAGCUAAGCCUUCUCCAGAACUCAGAGACAAGUGUGGUCUGAGGCAGACAGAUGAUUACAAGGAUAUGAAUUCAAGAAAGCUCCAGAGGUACCUGAAUGCUCCAAAUAUAAAGGUCAAGUAACAACAGCAAAGCCGCACAGAAACUCCAGAAAAGACAGAGGUCUUAGUCCAACUCCCAAGCUCAAUCACGACAACUGUAAGACAACAUGACUGCAAAAAACACAUUGUUGCUAAAUAUUUUUCUCUUUAAGAAGUUGUUGUGCUGCUUAAAAAUACUACAUUUUCUUCUGAUUAAACAAAACAUGGAAGUCAGUGAUAACAAGUUUUAAUAUCCAUUCACCCAAGCAGAAGUAGAUGUUACCAGCAAGUAUUCUGUGUUUUGUGAUUUGAGAUGAAUAAUGUGUUGUGGCAUAGAACAUUUGGUGCCUGCAAGAAAUUGUGUCACUUGACCAUACCAAAUACGUUUAACACUUGAAUUUUAAUCAUAUCUUCCAAGCCAAGUUCUAGUGCCAUUAAAGAUACAUUGGAAAAUGUGUUGAGGCCAAUGAAGUUUUCUUUCUGCAUCUACUGGUUGUUGGAUGGGGGUCUGAACCCAUGCAGCAAUACUUUGUACCUCGUGAUACAGCAUUUACUGCAUAUUACAUGUUUGUUAUUGUAAUUGCUUGGCCACCUGAGCUGUUUGGUAAAUAUAUAAACCAGGCUGUGAAUAGCAACAGAUGCAAGAGCAACAAGAAAGAAUGCUCUGGGAAAAUAUGGGCACACAAACUCUAAGGUUUCUAUGUACACAGUGUGAUGCA
Long non-coding RNA from Passer domesticus (house sparrow), 1550 nucleotides. RefSeq lists it as uncharacterized. The record is from RefSeq and is a predicted model, not a curated record. NCBI's taxonomy places the organism in Eukaryota, Metazoa, Chordata, Aves, Passeriformes, Passeridae. The transcript is spliced from 3 exons.